Molecule: long non-coding RNA, 904 nt
Filed under: Triticum aestivum (bread wheat)
Lineage: Eukaryota; Viridiplantae; Streptophyta; Magnoliopsida; Poales; Poaceae
Description: long non-coding RNA (TAES_LNC028147)
Source: RNAcentral
UUGCUUGCACCCCGUGCUCCCUCCUCCUCCAGAUCCGAGUCACUCCAAUCUACAUGCAUCAAGACGCCCCUAUUCUUCCGACAUGACAGCAGCUGAUCUGUUUUCUUGUGGUAAGCCUCAACUCUCAACCAUGGUCCUCCAAAAACAACAGUUAGGAUCUUUAGCUGUUCAUACAAAUUAUUUAUCAUUAAUCUAGGUCUCGGUGGCAGGAGCCCAAUGCUCGAAGGAUUAGCCGCAUGAGUGAGAAAAUAAGGGCCAUUUGCAUAUGUUUGGAGUGUGUUGAUUUAUUCAGUUUAAAGGGCUUUGUUUUCUCGUAUCUACUACAAUUUUGUAGGUGCUACUGUUAGGUGUACUGUUAGUACUCUCAUUUUUUGAUUUCAUUGAAAAACUGAAAAGGUUCGUGUCCAUGUAAUUUUUAUGCUAGCUAUGUACUUUCAGGAACUCUCCGAGAAUUAAGAAACCCUCUGUUUUGCUUGGAACACUUGGCCUAGUUGUCUGCCCCUCCUCUUCUGUGCUUUACAGCUUCUCCAUAACCAUGGAGAAACCUGAAGAUCCAAGUGGAGAAAAGAAAGGUGCGUGCUUUCUGAACUGAUUUAUUGCAUAUGAAUCUCAAUGUUGUGUGUUUAUAUUGGCUUGUUCGUGUCUUAUAGUUGACCCAGGCAGACGCUGCAACCUGUGGCUUGCUUGCUUUUUCUGUUUUCUUUCUCCCACUGAAUCAACGAAUAUGCAGCACAGUAUGUGUUAAAAAAAGCACUUCUCAACUUCAGAUGGGUGUGCCCUCCAAAAUACUGACUUCCUGUCUGCUUGUUUGAAAAGAACACAAGCUGAUUUUGUUUCUGGAACUCAGCACACUGACUUACUCCAUAGGUUAUUAUUGCCCCAACACAGAUUAGUACUAAAAACG